This 509-nucleotide ribosomal RNA is filed under the name uncultured bacterium. Its description in RNAcentral is "bacterial SSU rRNA". It matches the Rfam family "Bacterial small subunit ribosomal RNA", at positions 202 to 707 of the family's 1533-position model. The record is from RNAcentral.
UCGGGCCUUGCGCUAUUCGAUGAGCCUGAGUGAGAUUAGCUAGUUGGUGGGGUAAAGGCCUACCAAGGCGACGAUCUCUAGCUGGUCUGAGAGGAUGAUCAGCCACACUGGGACUGAGACACGGCCCAGACUCCUACGGGAGGCAGCAGUGGGGAAUAUUGCACAAUGGACGAAAGUCUGAUGCAGCCAUGCCGCGUGUGUGAAGAAGGCCUUCGGGUUGUAAAGCACUUUCAGCGAGGAGGAAAGGUCAGUAAGUAAUAUUUGCUGGCUGUGACGUUACUCGCAGAAGAAGCACCGGCUAAUUUAGUGCCAGCAGCCGCGGUAAUACUAAAGGUGCAAGCGUUAAUCGGAAUUACUGGGCGUAAAGCGCGCGUAGGUGGUUUGUUAAGUUGGAUGUGAAAGCCCAGGGCUCAACCUUGGAACUGCAUUCAAAACUGACUCACUAGAGUACGAGAGAGGUUAGUGGAAUUUCCUGUGUAGCGGUGAAAUGCGUAGAGAUGGGAAGGAAC